AUAAACUUUCAAACCAACAACCUUCCGGACCCACAAAUUUCAUAAACUUUCAAACCGCUAAACUUUCAAAACCGUGGAAUUUUGAACCUAUAAAUUUAUAAUUCCUAAAUCCGUAAACUUAAGGUAAAUUUUUUUUUUUUUUUUGCGGGGGAAGGGGGGGUAGUAGGGUGGAUGGUAACGGAAGGGUGGGGAAGGUUGAGAAAGAGCUUUGGAAAAUAUUUUUCCUUCUCUUGAUAAGUAAAAUAUUUUUCUCCAAUUGGAGGAAAAUGAAAUUGAUAAGGAAAAAUAUUUUCCAAAAUAUUUAAGGCAACCAAACAUAGAAAAAUUUGAAAAACAUUUUUCGGAAAAUAUUUUCCUUCGUACCAAACACACUAUACGUGUCUGUAAGUGUUUUCCCCCUCUAUUUUAGCGCUUUCUUCAACCAAUUUAUCACCUUCUUAGUUCUCGCAUCUCUACUGAAUAAGUGUGAUUUGAGAUUUAAUUCAAAUUGCGAUGGUAUUUUCUUGUUCCAGAAUAGUUUUGUUUCAUAUUUUUUAAUUGGUGUAAUGGCUUCUUGGCCACUCAAACUUGCUGCCGAUUUUAAAGUUCAUACAUGAACUUUAAACUUUCCCAUCACUCGAACUCAUAAUUUCUUUAAUUAAUAAACACAUUUGACCAUUGACAUGCCCAUGUAGCAUCGAUUUAUCAUCAACCUGCUGCCUGAUAAACACGAUGUACAGGAGCGUGAAAGCCCUCUUCUCAACCCCAACAGUCCAAAAUGGGUUGUAUAUGCAUAGAAAUAUGUACCAACUAACAAAGCUGAUAAGAAUGGAUCUUGGGCCUAACUCAACCCCAAAAGCUAGCUUAUGAGGUGAGGAUUGCCCAAGCCAUAUAAGGAGACCAAGGACCUCAAAUCCCUCCGACGUGGGACAACUCAACAAAAGCCUCGGUGCAUAGUGCAUUUUUUGCCCACUGAUCAGUUUUUCAUUGUAUCAUUAACUAAGAAAUCUUGUUUUUUCGUUAUAUUUCCAUAAAUUUUUCGUUAUACCAGAAGCUGGUUGCAAUUUGGCGUGGUCUCAAGUUCAUUCUCGUGUCUAGGGUUUCAAAUUCAAUCUUUUAUCCUGGUCUCCACGAAUUACAAUGGGUUAACUGCAACAGCAGUUAUAUCUGUCACGUCAAAAAUUCUGCACCACAUUUUCUUUCUGGUAUGACUCAAUUCGUUUUUUCAACCAUAUGCAAUUAUUACCUGGGCUCUUUGCUCCUUUUAAGCUUGAAAUGAGCACCUCCAAAGUUUUUUGCGUCCAUCCCAAAUGCCAAAUGAGGAAUCAGAUUCAGAAGGUAGGACAAAGAGAUUUAGACAUUUUGUGUAAUUCGUGGUAGUUCUUGGGGUGAAGAAUGAAGGCACCGGCCUCGAAUGUCUCGCCGGAAAUAGUCAUUGUUGCCAUGCGCCCUCUGACGGCAUCGUGCCGCUCGAAGAUUCUGAUUGUGCCGAUUUCGGAGUUUGAAUAGCUCCACGAGAAGUGCGCUAUACAGGAGCCGCCGAUUCCGCAGGCGAUAAUGCAGACAGGAGGAGAUGAUUCCGUGGAGAUGAGUACAAGAGAUAAAACGACAAAGGUUGUGUGGAGAUUCUUCGUCAUUUCGUUUUAUUAAUUAAUGGAGCUUCUUAUAGCCUCUUUGUUUAAUCUUCUAAUUAAUAACGAAGAAAAAGAGAAAGGAGAAGAAAGAAUAGUAAAGAAAGGAAGGAAGAAGGGUGAACCAAAGAGAAGGGAGGGGCAUCUUUUCUUUUCUUUUUUUUUUUUUUUUUUUUUUUUUAAUUUUUUUUUUUNNNNNNNNNNNNNNNNNNNNNNNNNNNNNNNNNNNNNNNNNNNNNNNNNNNNNNNNNNNNNNNNNNNUUUUUUUUUUUUUUUUUUUAUUUGUAACUUUCUUUUCUGAUUUUAUAUUUAAAAAUAGGACCCACAAAUGACAUAUGGCAAGUUAUAAAUAGCUUAGCAUGAUGUGUGGUACAUGUCAGCGCAACUUGUGGAUGUGUUUAUUAGUACUCGUUUGUCAAGUUUAAGUGUUCAGAUGGAAAAAUUCAAAGUUUGUAUAUCAACUUUAAAAUCGACUGCAAAUUUGAGUGGCCGGGAAGCCAUUUCGUCUUUUUAAUUUAUGCGUUACUCCUGACAAAUAAUAAGUCAUUUUAUGAUGUUAUUACCAAAAUAUGUUUUCUCACUUGUGAGUGAAAGUUAUUUUUCUUAAACUGUGUUAACUUUUUUUAAUUUCACGUUACUUGCUCCUACUUCACAUAAAAGAAAGCCCAAUUUUAUUAUCUGAGAAUAAACGGCAGUUAGAGUAAAAAUACGGGCUAGUCAGUUUUCGGACUGGUCAUUUAAAAAUAGUCAGUAUUUGUAAAGUCAUUAAAAAUAAUUAUUAUUUUGUUGCAACACAGAAAGGUCGAGCAUAAUAUACAAACCGUAUGAGCAGAUACCUAGUCAACGACUCAACUUGAGGAUGUUAUGGUUUUCCUUCCAUUCGAAGCUCUGCUGCUUUGAAUAUCCCUAUUUAAAAUUAUUUCAGUGAAAGGGAACCUCCGCCUCUGAAAAUCGUUCUUUAUGUAUUAGUAUGUCAAUUCAUAAUUCAACUUGGACAAGCCUUCGAUUGUUAAUUAAAGAUAACAUCAAAUACAAAACUAUCUUUAAGGUAGAGAAAUUUUAUAACUUUCAACAUGAAGACAAUGGCUUAGACAGAAAGAUUAGUAUCUUCAUGUCAAAUUGGCAACCGCAGUGAAAUGAAGCUGAAACUCUUAUUAAAUUAACGUGAAUUUUAGUUUUGGAUUUUGGUUUUGUUUCAAAAAAAAAAUUAAAAUUCAAACUCACUUUUUUAAUUCAAAUGCCGCUGGUUGUGAUUCAUAGUUCAGGACUGAGUAAAAUGUAUUGUCCUGUACUAAGUUCAAACUUAAGGCGUGGGACUAAAUAUCUCCAUUUCAAUUUACAUGAACUUAUUUGAUUCAUCACAUUUGUGUCGCUAUAAAAACUUCUCAUUUAACUUUUUUUUUCUUUCUAAAUGUGAAUCGACAUUUGUAGGCACGGGCGGUGUGGAAACUAAUCCAUGUUUUAUUUAUUAAAGUGAUUUUUACAUAUAUAUACCAUAUAGCGAACCUUAUUAUCUCCCAUGUUUAAGGUUUGUGUUUAUUACAUUUAAGCAUACCAAAUUUCAAUUUAUGUACCAUAAUUCA
RNAcentral lists this long non-coding RNA (3193 nucleotides) under Nicotiana benthamiana. RNAcentral describes it as "long non-coding RNA (NBEN_LNC011582)". Lineage: Eukaryota; Viridiplantae; Streptophyta; Magnoliopsida; Solanales; Solanaceae. The record is from RNAcentral.